Arabidopsis lyrata subsp. lyrata is the source of this 547-nucleotide long non-coding RNA. RefSeq lists it as uncharacterized. The record is from RefSeq and is a predicted model, not a curated record. NCBI's taxonomy places the organism in Eukaryota, Viridiplantae, Streptophyta, Magnoliopsida, Brassicales, Brassicaceae. The transcript is spliced from 4 exons.
UUUCAACCCAACAAUCAUUGUCGGUGAGAUGAAAAGAGAUGAAACAACAAACCCAGAAAAAUCUCAUGCUAAUCUUUGAUCUGAAAAUAGAAAACGUAAUACUGCUUAGAUCGAGCUUUAUCGUUGCUGUUUAUCAAGUUUCUACCACAGAUUUCGAAUUAUAGAAACAUGUAAGCUUUUGAUUGAUUCAAUUUUAGAGAACUUUUUAUUUUUUACAAUUCGUCGAUUUGAUUUCCAGUUUGUGCAAUUCUCUGUUUGAAUAGAUUCAUUGGGAGAUGACUGUGAAGAACCCAAGCUUCUGAAUUAAGGAAAGAAAUCAUGCAAUCAAGAUUGACUGAUGAUAUAGGAUCUUAAACCAAUUACAUAAGACCAGGCAACAUCUUUAAAGAAGGCAAAUUUGAAAGCACUGAUAAAGCCAGUCCAGAUUCUGAAAGCACUGAUAAAGGAUAUCAUCAGAGUCUUCUUCGAUUGUUGUAUCAUAACUCUUGUGAGAUGUUUUUUUCUCCUUUGCCAAAGACUUUGGGAACCUCAUAGUGUUUCUUGAAUU